RNAcentral lists this ribosomal RNA (1389 nucleotides) under uncultured Bordetella sp. RNAcentral describes it as "partial 16S-23S ribosomal RNA intergenic spacer". It matches the Rfam family "Bacterial small subunit ribosomal RNA". The record is from RNAcentral. Lineage: Bacteria; Pseudomonadati; Pseudomonadota; Betaproteobacteria; Burkholderiales; Alcaligenaceae.
AGUCGAACGGCAGCACGGACUUCGGUCUGGCGAGUGGCGAACGGGUGAGUAAUGUAUCGGAACGCCUAUAGCGGGGAUAACUACGCGAAAGCGUAGCUAAUACCGCAUACGCCCUUCGGGGAAAGCGGGGACCUUCGGGCCUCGCACUAUUAGAGCGGCCGAUAUCGGAUUAGCUAGUUGGUGGGGUAACGGCUCACCAAGGCGACGAUCCGUAGCUAGUUUGAGAGGACGACCAGCCACACUGACUGGAGAUGGCCCAGAUCUACGGGAGUGGCAGUGGGGAAUUUGACAAUGGGGAACCCUGAUCCAGCCAUCCCGCGCGUGCGAUGAAGGCCUUCAGUUGUAAAGCACUUUUGGCAGGAAAGAAACGGCACGGAUAAUACCCGUGCACCCGACGGUGCCUGCAGAAUAAGCACCGGCUAACUACGUGCCAGCAGCCGCGCACAAUGUGUGGGUGCGCGGCGUUAACGGAAUUACUGGGCGGGAAGCGUGCGUGCAGGCGGUUCGGAAAGAAAGACGUGAAAUCCCAGAGCUUAACUUUGGAACUGCAUUUUUAAUCACGAGCUAGAGUGUGUCAGAGGGAGGUGGGAAUUCCGUGUAGCAGUGAAAUGCGUAGAUAUGCGGAGGAACACCGAUGGCGAAGGCAGCUUCCUGGGGAUAACACUGACGUUCAUGUAAUGAAAGUGGGAGCAAACAGAUUAGAUACCUCCUGGUAGUCCACGCCCUAAACGAUGUCAACUAGGCUGUUGGGGCCUUUCGGGCCUGGUAGCGCAGCUAACGUGAAGUUGACCGCCUGGGGAGUACGGUCGCAAGACAAACCCAAAGGAAUUGACGGGGACCGCAAGCGGUGGAUGAUAUGGGAUUAAUUGAUGCAACGCGAAAACCUUACCUACCCUGACAUGUCUGGAAUCCCGAAGAGAUUUGGGAGUGCUCGCAAGAGAACUGGAACGAGAAGCGGCGCUGUCGUCAGCUCGUGUCGUGAGAUUAAGUCCUCAGCAACGAGCGUAACCCUUUGUCAUUAGUUGCUACGAAAGGGCACUUAAUGAGACUGCCGGUGACAAACCGGAGGAAGGUGGGGAUGACGUCAAGUCCUCAUUCUUAUGGGUAGGGCUUCACACGUCAUACAAUGGUCGUAACAGGGUCGCCAACCCGCGAGGGGAGCCAAUCCCAGAAACCCGAUCGUAGUCCGGAUCGCGUCUGCAAACUCGACUGCGUGAAGUCGGAAUCAUAGUAAUCGCGGAUCAUGUCGCGGUGAAUACGUUCCCGGGUCUUGCACACACUGCCCGUCACACUAUGGGAGUGGGUUUUACCAGAAGUAGUUAGCCUAACCGUAAGGAGGGCGAUUACCACGGUGUGAUUCAUGACUGGGGUGAAGUCGUAACAAGGUAA